CACGACUUUUUUGAACGCACAGUUUACUCCAUAGGAUUAUAAUGUAAACCAAAAGCUGGCAGCUUAAAAAAAAGACGGCAAGUGUGAACAUAGCCUUAGGCUACAAAGCUCAACAUUACAAUGGAGUAUUUGAAAGCCUCUGUGACCUGUAACACCACA
Etheostoma cragini (Arkansas darter) is the source of this 159-nucleotide long non-coding RNA. RefSeq lists it as uncharacterized. The record is from RefSeq and is a predicted model, not a curated record. The transcript is spliced from 3 exons. Lineage: Eukaryota; Metazoa; Chordata; Actinopteri; Perciformes; Percidae.